RNAcentral lists this ribosomal RNA (365 nucleotides) under uncultured Glomeromycotina. Its description in RNAcentral is "SSU rRNA". It matches the Rfam family "Eukaryotic small subunit ribosomal RNA", at positions 569 to 937 of the family's 1831-position model. The record is from RNAcentral. Lineage: Eukaryota; Fungi; Glomeromycota.
AGCAGCCGCGGUAAUUCCAGCUCCAAUAGCGUAUAUUAAAGUUGUUGCAGUUAAAAAGCUCGUAGUUGAACUUCGGGGUCUACCCAUUGGUCAGGCUUAAUUGUCUGCACUGGUGAGAUGGAUCUCUACCUUCUGAGGAACUUUCAUGCCAUUUAUUUGGUGUGGUUUGAAAUCAGGACUGUUACUUUGAAAAAAUUAGAGUGUUUAAAGCAGACUAUCGUCUGAAUACAUUAGCAUGGAAUAAUGAAAUAGGACGGACUGAUUCUAUUUCGUUGGUUUCUAGGAUCACCGUAAUGAUUAGUAGGGAUAGUUGGGGGCAUUAGAUUCAAUUGUCAGAGGUGAAAUUCUUGGAUUUAUUGAAGACU